GAUGAACGCUGGCGGCGUGCCUAAUACAUGCAAGUCGAGCGAACAGACGAGGAGCUUGCUCCUUUGACGUUAGCGGCGGACGGGUGAGUAACACGUGGAUAACCUACCUAUAAGACUGGGAUAACUUCGGGAAACCGGAGCUAAUACCGGAUAACAUGUUGAACCGCAUGGUUCAACAGUGAAAGACGGUCUUGCUGUCACUUAUAGAUGGAUCCGCGCCGCAUUAGCUAGUUGGUAAGGUAACGGCUUACCAAGGCAACGAUGCGUAGCCAACGGGUGAGGGGGUUCGCCCACUGAGGAGGUGACAGAGGCCCCGGGCACAGACGUGAGGCAGAGAUAGGGAAGGUACGGAAAGGGGCGGAAGCCUGACGGAGCAACGGCGGCGGGGUGAAGAAGGUCUGCGCUCUGGAAAACUGUCUUCUGUGGGAAGAACAAAUGUGUAAGUAACGAAGCGCGGUUGACGGUAACCUAUAAAGAAGCACCGGCUAACUCCGUG
This 496-nucleotide ribosomal RNA is filed under the name uncultured bacterium. Its description in RNAcentral is "partial 16S ribosomal RNA". It matches the Rfam family "Bacterial small subunit ribosomal RNA", at positions 28 to 507 of the family's 1533-position model. The record is from RNAcentral.